This is a long non-coding RNA of Sapajus apella (tufted capuchin), 1602 nucleotides long. RefSeq lists it as uncharacterized. NCBI's taxonomy places the organism in Eukaryota, Metazoa, Chordata, Mammalia, Primates, Cebidae. The transcript has 3 exons. The record is from RefSeq and is a predicted model, not a curated record.
UGUGUGCAGGUGAGUGUGUAAUGGGAGUCAGUGUGCGUGUGUGUGUAUAUGCGGCUGUGUGUGCCUCCCCGCGGGCCGUGUCCCAGAGGCCCUGGCUGUGUCUGCAGCUGUGCCUCCGGUGUUCGUGUCCCAGGAGGACACCUUGCCCUCCUCAGCUAUGGGGCUCUGCCUGCACGUCCCUGCCACCCUGACCCUGACCCCCGACCGGGGGGGGGGGCGGUGUGAGGCUCCCCCGUGCCUCUGACGGUGACCCUGGCCACGGAACCCCGCGUGCGGCUUCGGGAGGUCUUGGGCCGAGCGGGCGUAAGUCUGGGCCGAGGCCGGGGGAGCGGCGGCGUUGGAGGUGGCGGUUGUGUAACCGCGAGGCUGUGGGCGAAGGGACGGCGGUGCCGGUGUGGGGGGAGAGGGGGCGGCGAGGAGCGGGCGGGGAAGAGCUGCUCAGGGCUGUGCCAGCCGUGACCCAAAUAGCUCAGAACACAGCACGCAUCCCCUCCCCGCUUCUCUGGGACCCCCUCCACGCCCCUUGAGAUCUCCAAUCCCAGCCCCCUUUUCCCAGCAGCAACCCAGGACAGAGCCCAGGGACUCAAGCCCCACCCGCGAGGCUAGGACCCGUCCUGGGGCCCCAUCAGGACUCCCAGCCCCCUCACCGGUCCUCAGCUCGGCCAAGCCUUUCUCCUCAUUAAUCUCAAAGUCAAGGACUUGAAUUAAACUGGGUCAGGGGACAGCUCUUUCGCCCAUUGAAGCUGCCCGGAGCCGGGCCCCUUCCCCAGAGACCCCGGCUUCUGUGAGGUUCCCAGGCCGGCCCCACCCUCGGGACCCGGCUCUGCCAGCCCGUGGCUCCCCAAACCCAGCCUCGUCUCGGCCUUCGCCCCUGCAGCUCCUGACCGCCCCUGCUUACUUGGGACCGGCUGGAAGCUUCCUCUUCCAGCGCCCCUUCGUUUUCCAGCCCUGGUCCUUAGCCCCCGGAGCCCCCUUCCCCAUCUCAGACUCUCAGUCCCAUCUCAGCACCCCAGAACGGUUUUCCUCUCCACCGCUAUCAGGUCCGCUGUCUCCUGGGUCCCACUUUAACUGGGACAUAUUUUACUUGCUCAGAUCCUAUGGGGCCAGGUCAUCUUUUAGGGCAGAGAGAGUGGACUACUCUCCCGACGACCCUGGAGGCUGGCUCCCCAGGCAGGUAUCACACACCCGGGAAUCCGGGCCCCCCUCCCCUCCUCUCCAGGAACUCAGGUGUCCAGGCCCCCCGCCUUCCCUUAUUUAGAGAGCUCCAGGUCUGGACCCCCCGCGCGCGUCCCAGGAGAACCUCCAGGUGCCCGCGCUGCUGGCGUCGGCGGCAUCCGGAGAGCGGGGCCGCACCGCGGUUGGAAACAGCCCUCCCUGUGGGUACGAGGCCACUCAUACUGAGAUUUCACCCUGGAACGUAACGAUCCCUUCACCUUCACGGAGAACCUUCCUGUCUGUGUAAAGGUCGCCGUACCCCAGGUCUUCAGUAUCCUCUAGUUCCGGCUGGAGUCAUGUUCACCAUUUCCAACCAGGUGGUCCACAUGGGGCUUGGGGAUGAAGCAGAUCCUCAGAUGAGCAGUCAGAGAUGUAUUAACUGACUCC